GCCAGGCGGUCAGCAUUGAAGGGCCGCCCUGCGCCCAUUCGCCCGCUGGUUUCAAGGCCCGGGUUGGCUGGGCGGGCAGCAGAAAGAGGCGCGCGGAUUGGUCGGGGGGAGGGAGAUUGGGGUGGGGCAGGCGGGAGCCGGCCGCUGAUUGGGUUGGCCUGGUAAAGGCCUUGAGCUCAGACCGGCUGAGCGCUGGGAGGAGGGUGGACCAAAGGCGAGACUCCGGGCCCGCGUGAUUGGCUGGGACCCCAGACGUUGAUAGGAUAGGGCGCCGGGGAGAACUGGGGAGAGGAGUUCGGGGUCGGGGCCGCGUAAAGGCGGGAGGCGCCCCGCCGCUUCAGGAGCCUAGCGCGGGGCACGAUGGGACGCCCCCGGGAAGGGGCGGAGCCGUGUUCGGGCUGCGGUUGGGAAAGCGCCGUCACUCCAAGGGGCGUGUUGAGGAGGGUUUCGCGGGCCCUAGCGGGGGAGGGGGGGACCGUUAAAGCCUUGCACCGCGCCCACAGGAAGCUGCUCUCAUGGCCAGGCCUACUUGGUAUCAGGCUCUCAGCUGGGAAGGACCUUGAAGACCAUGCGGUUCAACUUCCAGUUUGCAGGUGUGGAAACUGAAGCCCAAAGAGGCUCUAUGCCCAGCAUGAGGCUUGACCUCACACUCGGAAAGUGGAGCAUCUCCAGCUCUAUCCAAUGAGCCAACCAGACACGCCCAAGCCCAAUGCUGGAACCAGAAAUUCAAUGGUGAAAGCUACAGCCACCAGAUGCCACCAAGAGAACUACAGGGGCAACCAGACCUUUUUCCAAGUAGCACUUACAACCCAGUCGACUCUCCUUCCCCUGACUCUGCCCUCGAUCCCAUUUGCCAUCACAUGUACCAGUGGAACCACCCAUCUUCUAGUUGGGUUUCCAAGGGAAAACAAUUGCUUGGCCUCAUGUGUUAGUAACACCAGGGUCUCCUAUCGCUUAUGCUUGUGUUUGAAAACAAACACCUUGACCAGUCUGUGUCAACCGGCGGCGGUACAAGAAGGCACAGUCCAUCUUGGGUUGAGUUUUUGUACCAUCACAAGAGAAGAACAACAACAACACUGAGAGCCUAAAACCAGUACAUAGCAAGAGGAGAUUCAUUUCUCCCCAAAUAAUCUAUUAUUCGGUCAGAAACGAGGUUGUCUGUAAGUACAGACUCAGUGCUAUAAAUAGAUGAUCAGAAGCUUGCUUUUAUUUUCUGCCCUAAGAAAAAUAAUCACUCACCCUACAGAGGUGGCUCCAAGUCUUUCUGAUAACAUUCUAGGACCUGUUUGGCUACUAGAACUGAAAGAACUCUUUUAAAGUUACAGAACUCCUCUCAUACCCCCUAAAUUGCACACUACAGAGACACAUUCUUUACAAAUAAUUUCAAAGGGUUCCUUGCAGCCUAAAACCCAUCCUGGAAACUGGAAAUUUAAGAAUUCAUCCUAAUUUAAGAAAUUUAAGAAUUCAGCCUAAGAAAAUCCAAUUUCUCCAGCGCAGCUAUGAGUAUGGCCCCUAGACAGGAAAGCCUUGAUAUACGGGAAUCGGUAAGUCUCCAGUUAACUCCUGAAUGCUAACUCUAAGUAUCUCCACAAGAUUUCUGAGCAUCCAGAACGAAUUUAGAAGGAAUCUUAGGAUUUUUCUCUUUAGGUAUCACUCAUUAAGCAAUUCAGAAAUUGGAUUUUCUUAGGCUCAGAAAAUCCUCUGGUUGUAAAACUUCUUAUAAUCCUAGUGAAUGACAGGAAAGUUUAUAGUUUCUUAUGAAAGAGAAUAAAAGAAAUCAGGACAUCAAUUUCACAUUGACAUUUUUAUUAACGCCAACUGUUUUUUAAUUAUUAUUUUUUUAAAACAAUAGCACAAAAAUGUUUCAAGGAAGCAGUCUCACAAUCUGAUGACCUUCUGAAAUACAGUCAAGCCACACCAAAUAUGAAAUUCCUGUUAAUAACACAAAACAAAUAUUUUUAAAAAGGAAAAUAAAAAGAAGAGGAAA
Long non-coding RNA from Mustela erminea (ermine), 1987 nucleotides. RefSeq lists it as uncharacterized. NCBI's taxonomy places the organism in Eukaryota, Metazoa, Chordata, Mammalia, Carnivora, Mustelidae. The record is from RefSeq and is a predicted model, not a curated record. The transcript is spliced from 3 exons.